AAUAUUGUGGCUAGUGCAGUGCAUCCCAUUAACUAGAACCCAGAUAUCUGAAGAUGCAAAAUGACUGGAAACCUGUAUUUAAUUCCAUAUAAGACUUGCAGGUUCAGAAAGUGCAAGUCUACUAAAUUGGAAUGUUCUGCUUUGAUUUCUUAACAGAGAGAAGAUUUAUGGAGGAAUUUUGAGUCCCCAUCUGAUGUGCUGACUGCAUGCUAUAUUGCUGAGGUUAUGUUGCUAUAUAACCCGCACAGUCCAGAGGAAUAAGACUGCUGCAGAGGCAUUUCUCAAAAUGGUGCCGUACCAUGACAUCUCUUGCAUCUCAGCAGUUUUCUCAUUUCUAGUUGCUUACAUUAAAGUGUAUGUGCACUUCCUCACAGAUACAUACGAGGUACAAUAAGAACAAACAAAAUCUCUGAAAUUAUAUUCCCACUGAGCUAUCAUGAAU
Molecule: long non-coding RNA, 442 nt
Filed under: Phasianus colchicus (ring-necked pheasant)
Lineage: Eukaryota; Metazoa; Chordata; Aves; Galliformes; Phasianidae
Description: lncRNA (ENSPCLG00000002621.1)
Source: RNAcentral